GGCCGAGUGGCGGAAUGGCAGACGCUGGGGACUUAAAAUCCCCUGCCCGUUAGGGCGUGUGGGUUCAAAUCCCACCUCGGCUA
This 83-nucleotide transfer RNA is filed under the name Phycisphaerales bacterium. RNAcentral describes it as "tRNA-Leu". It matches the Rfam family "tRNA". From Rfam's summary of the family: Transfer RNA (tRNA) molecules are approximately 80 nucleotides in length. Their secondary structure includes four short double-helical elements and three loops (D, anti-codon, and T loops). Further hydrogen bonds mediate the characteristic L-shaped molecular structure. tRNAs have two regions of fundamental functional importance: the anti-codon, which is responsible for specific mRNA codon recognition, and the 3' end, to which the tRNAs corresponding amino acid is attached (by aminoacyl-tRNA synthetases). tRNAs cope with the degeneracy of the genetic code in two manners: having more than one tRNA (with a specific anti-codon) for a particular amino acid; and 'wobble' base-pairing, i.e. permitting non-standard base-pairing at the 3rd anti-codon position. The record is from RNAcentral. Lineage: Bacteria; Pseudomonadati; Planctomycetota; Phycisphaerae; Phycisphaerales.